AACGCACAUUGCGCCUGUUAGCAUUCUAGCAGGCAUGCCUGUCCGAGCGUCAUUUCUACCCUCAAGUUCUACUGUAACUUGGUGUUGGGGCACCUGCAGCAUUUAGUGCUUAUGGGCCCUGAAAAUCCUUGGCGGGCCCGCUAGGUCUCCGAGCGUAGUAGCAUUUUCUCGCUCCUGGAGGUUCUAGUAGGCUUUUCCAGCCCAUUAAAACCCUACUGAAAUAAGUUUGACCUCGGAUCAGGUAGGAAUACCCGCUGAACUUAA
This 264-nucleotide unclassified non-coding RNA is filed under the name uncultured fungus. RNAcentral's name for it is "sequence contains ITS2". Lineage: Eukaryota; Fungi. The record is from RNAcentral.